AGCUCCAAUAGCGUAUAUUAAAGUUGUUGCGGUUAAAAAGCUCGUAGUUGGAUUUCUGCCAGGGGCAACCGGUCACCACACUGUGGUAGUAUCUGGUUUGUUCGUGGCAUCCUCCCGACGAACGUAUUUGUCAUUCAGUUGAUGAUGCGGUUAUCGGGACUUUUACUUUGAGGAAAUUAGAGUGUUCACGGCAGGCUUUCGCGAUGAAUACAUUAGCAUGGAAUAAUAACAUAGGACCUUGGUUCUAUUUUGUUGGUUUCUAGAACUGAGGUAAUGAUUAAUAGGGAUAAUUGGGGGCAUUCGUAUUGGCGCGUCAGAGGUGAAAUUCUUAGAUUGCGUUAAGACGAACUACUGCGAAAGCAUUUGCCAAGGAUGUUUUCA
RNAcentral lists this ribosomal RNA (381 nucleotides) under uncultured eukaryote. RNAcentral describes it as "SSU rRNA". It matches the Rfam family "Eukaryotic small subunit ribosomal RNA", at positions 587 to 972 of the family's 1831-position model. The record is from RNAcentral.